AACGAACGCUGGCGGCAGGCCUAACACAUGCAAGUCGAGCGAAGCCUUCGGGCUUAGCGGCGGACGGGAAAGUAACGCGUGGGAACGUGCCCUUUGGUACGGAAUAGCCCCGGGAAACUGGGAGUAAUACCGUAUGUGGUCGAGAGACGGAAGAUUUAUCGCCACAGGAUCGGCCCGCGUUGGAUUAGGUAGUUGGUGGGGUAAUGGCCUACCAAGCCGACGAUCCAUAGCUGGUUGGAGAGGAUGAUCGGCCUCACUGGGGCUGAGACACGGCCCAGACACCUACGGGAGGGAGCAGUGGGGAAUCUUAGACAAUGGGGGAAACCCUGAUCUAGCCAUGCCGGGUGAUCGAUGAAGGCCUUAGGCUUGUAAAGAUCUUUCAGUGGGGAAGAUAAUGACUGUACCCACAGAAGAAGCCCCGGCUAACUCCGUGCCAGCCGCCGCGGUAA
This 449-nucleotide ribosomal RNA is filed under the name uncultured bacterium. RNAcentral describes it as "partial 16S ribosomal RNA". It matches the Rfam family "Bacterial small subunit ribosomal RNA", at positions 29 to 523 of the family's 1533-position model. The record is from RNAcentral.